Small nucleolar RNA from Phyllostomus hastatus (greater spear-nosed bat), 125 nucleotides. RefSeq annotates it as small nucleolar RNA SNORA31. The record is from RefSeq and is a predicted model, not a curated record. Lineage: Eukaryota; Metazoa; Chordata; Mammalia; Chiroptera; Phyllostomidae. The transcript has a single exon.
CCACAUCCACUGAUAGACCUUGAACAACCUGAUGCCAUUUUUUGGUUUGUACCAGGAUGUGAAAGAAAAAAAUUCCUGCACUUUCUGUCUUUGUCAUGGUCUACAUUGAAUAGGGGACUAUAUCU